AAUCAGGUCUCUAUGAUUGGGCAUAUGUUCUUGACAAAAAUUGACAUUUUAUUCUUAACCUUUGCAAAUAUGAAACUUCUGUAAUUAUUGCAGCUACUUAUAGAACUAGACGGUGCUGAUACAAAUAGGCUUGAAGUCAUGGACCUGGGAGACUUCUAUAUAUCCCUCUACCUAGUCCAGAUGAACGCGGACUAAUUGUAAUAGCUCUUGGCCAGAAAAAACCUAUAGAUGCUAGUGUCCACUUAAUGACCAUGGGAAGAGAUGAUGCCUGUAAAAUGUUAGUGGAGUGGACCUAGCACUGGUUUGUUAAUCUGUUGUGUUAACCCUCUUGUUUUACCUGCCUUUAUUGCCCCACCCAUUUUCCUUCCCACCCCCCUUCCCCUUUGAUUGCACUUGAAGAUAAAUUGACAGCCAACAGCUAUGCCAAAAAUCAUCUUUUGGAAUGCUCGAAAUUGAUUGUUUCUUUCCAUUAGAAGGCAGCAAUUGGGAAGUUUACUGGCGUGCACCGAAAGUAGAGCACUUCUAAGUAUGGCAAUGCUGCAAGCUGUGAACCGGCUUCUUUUCUAUUAGUAGCCUGGUUCUUGGAUAAGACGCAUGUUGUUCCUCCUUAUGUGUUCUUAUCCUAGAACCAGACUUCUAAUAGAAAAGAAGCCGGUUCACAGCUUGCAGCAUUGCCAUAUUUAGAAGUGCUCUACUUUCGGUGCACGGCAGUAAGCUUCCCAAUUGCUGCCUUAUGAUGGAAAGAAACAAUCAAUUUCGAGCAUUUCAAAAGCUGAUUUUUGGCAUAGCUGCUGGCUGUCAAUUUAUCUUCAAGUGCAAUCAUUGCAGCUUCAUUCAUCUGCACAUUUAAGCAAUUAGUAAAAAAGCACCCAUCCCCAGAGCCUGGGGCAACAACUUAUGUUGCACAUCAACAAUUUCAUUCAAAACUAAACACAACUACUGCAGAAGUAUAUAUAUAUUCACACGAAUUUGGUUUCAAGAUUGUUGAGGAUUUUAUAUUUGUUAUAAAAGAAUUGUGGAGAUUGUGAUGUA
Capsicum annuum is the source of this 1032-nucleotide long non-coding RNA. RefSeq lists it as uncharacterized. The record is from RefSeq and is a predicted model, not a curated record. The transcript has 2 exons. Lineage: Eukaryota; Viridiplantae; Streptophyta; Magnoliopsida; Solanales; Solanaceae.